UACGUAGGGUGCAAGCGUUGUCCGGAAUUAUUGGGCGUAAAGAGCUCGUAGGCGGUUUGUUGCGUCUGCUGUGAAAACCCGAGGCUCAACCUCGGGCCUGCAGUGGGUACGGGCAGACUAGAGUGCGGUAGGGGAGAUUGGAAUUCCUGGUGUAGCGGUGGAAUGCGCAGAUAUCAGGAGGAACACCAGUGGCGAAGGCAGAUCUCUGGGCCGUAACUGACGCUGAGGAGCGAAAGCAUGGGGAGCGAACAGG
This 253-nucleotide ribosomal RNA is filed under the name uncultured bacterium. RNAcentral's name for it is "partial 16S ribosomal RNA". It matches the Rfam family "Bacterial small subunit ribosomal RNA", at positions 524 to 776 of the family's 1533-position model. The record is from RNAcentral.